Molecule: long non-coding RNA, 368 nt
Organism: Numida meleagris (helmeted guineafowl)
Lineage: Eukaryota; Metazoa; Chordata; Aves; Galliformes; Numididae
Exons: 3
Source: RefSeq, a predicted model, not a curated record
GUUUAUUCCUUAACGUGUGACUGCAUGUGGAAGACCAUAAAAAUGUGGGGAGUUAAUUAGGGACAGCUGUAGCUUGGAGGUUGCUGUUGUUGAGCAUUUGUGGGUGGCUUGUGGGUUGUUAUAUUGCUGUAUGCUGAUGGCAGAUGACCACUUUAUGAUUCUGAAGUUCUACCAAUUCUGAAUCAUAUUUGUGUAAAUUCAGGAGAAUGACAGGCAGCUAUGAAGUGAUCCAUGGCAUGCUUUUGAGGCACCCUUAAAACAGAGGUUUUCCUGAAUCUACACAUCAGACAGAAUUUUGAAGACCUUAACCUUAAUGAAGAACAAGAUCUACAAAUGUGUAAAGUGAUGGUCAUUAGAUACAAGUUCUU